AGCGAACGCUGGCGGCAGGCCUAACACAUGCAAGUCGAACGAACCUUUCGGGGUUAGUGGCGGACGGGUGAGUAACACGUGGGAACGUGCAUUUAAGUUUGGAAUAACUCAGGGAAACUUGUGCUAAUACCGAAUGUGCCCUUCGGGGGAAAGAUUUAUCGCCUUUAGAGCGGCCCGCGUCUGAUUAGCUAGUUGGUUGAGGUAAUGGCUCACCAAGGCGACGAUCAGUAGCUGGUAUGAGAGGAUGAUCAGACACAUUGGGACUGAGACACGGCCCAAACUCCUACGGGAGGCAGCAGUGGGGAAUCUUGCGCAAUGGGCGAAAGCCUGACGCAGCCAUGCCGCGUGAAUGAUGAAGGUCUUAGGAUUGUAAAAUUCUUUCACCGGGGACGAUAAUGACGGUACCCGGAGAAGAAGCCCCGGCUAACUUCGUG
This 434-nucleotide ribosomal RNA is filed under the name uncultured bacterium. RNAcentral's name for it is "partial 16S ribosomal RNA". It matches the Rfam family "Bacterial small subunit ribosomal RNA", at positions 29 to 507 of the family's 1533-position model. The record is from RNAcentral.